UUUUUUUUAAGUUUUUGUUACACAUAGAACCGCACACAACUUAACCGUAGUAACCGUCUGUGUUAUAAUUUCCCAUCGCAAACAGUUCAUUCGAGUGGGUUGUUUGCCGCUUAUCACACACAUCUUGUUUACAUGAACCGUUUGUGUUCUUUUGGCUCACCACAAACAGUUCAUCUAUGUGAAUUGUAUGCCGCAUAUCACACACAUCUUGUUAGGUUGAACCGUUUUUGUUCUGUUCCCUAAUCGAAAACAGUUUGUUAGAGUGAACUGUAUGCCGUAUAUCACACACAUCUUGAUCUGGCUGACCGUUUCUGUUGUGUUUGCUAAUCACAAGCAGUUAAUUCAAGUGAACUGUAUGUCGUAUAUCGCACACACCUUGAUAUGGCUGCCCAUUUCUGUUGUUCUGUCUCAUCACAAAUAGUUCGUAUGGAUCAACCGUAUGCCUUACAUCGCACACACAACUAAAAUCUGAACCGUGUUCGAUGUCUCCGCCAUCGCAAACGCUUUGCAUCUUUUUUGACAGUUUUUACAUCAUCGUUUGCGAUUAAUGCAUCACACAGUUUCGUCAAAGGGCCUCUGAUCGUAGUGUCGCAUUAGUAGCAUCCUGCAGUAGUGGUAUAGGGCAUGGUUUAUCCAGCAACUCAUCUAGAACUGUUCUGGGUCUGUUUUGAUUUUCGUCAGGCUCGUGUUCGGGCGACCGUCGCGUAUAUGCUCAUUUUGCUUGGGCUUUUCUUGGCUGUGUGGCAGGAACUGACUCCAUGUGCAUUUGCUGCGACUUCCAAGCGCUUUCCAUGGUGCAAUAUUUGCGGACCAUGUCUGAUAGUUCGGUGAAGCUUUGCACGUGGUGACGGGCAAGGGCGUUCAGGAUUCCUUCAUCCCGGUAGUUGAAUCGGAAAGCUUCAAUUAUUUCUUUGUCACGGCAGUCCGUCAUCUUGUUUUUGAUGACGAGAAAUCUAGCCCAGUAAUGAUGGACGGUUUCUUAGGGUUGUUGUUUGACGUACAUCAGGUCCUAUACAUCCAGACUUCCCGCGUCCGAAGAAUAUUCGGUGUGGGAGGUGGGUGGGAAACGUUUACACAUUCCUGAAUGUUGUGAGUCCAGAGUGUUGGCAGCGGCGAACCGUGCUUGGACUAUAUCCGGAUUUGGUCGCAGAGAGUUCGAGCGCAAACCCGUAGGUGGUUGGGCCGACUCGAGGUCGGAUCCAGAAUUGUAGGCUGAGUCUGAGCUCUUUUCUUGACGGGUAUCUGUCUCCGGGCUAGAGAUCCAGGUAUAUAUUGUUUUCAGCUUCGGAGAUCGUGAUCCCUCCGCCGUUUCUUUGAUGGUACCGAUGAGGUGUGUGCCCGGCGGGGUGUGGAUCUCUCUGUUGUCGGGUUUAAGCACGAUCUGGUUAUUGGCCGUGGGCCUGGUGAGGGAGAUCCCCAUGGAGAGGAAUAGAUCUGAGAGGUCGUCAACCGAAGUGGUUCCCGUCGGAGCUAUGCCUUCUGGGUAUUCGGCGAGACGUUUUUUGAAUAUUUUGAUGGGGUCCGGCUUUUAGGCAAAAUUCUGAAUAAUAUUUGCCCCCUUCGCGCCUGCUGAAUUCGAGGUCAAGGCAUCGGUCUCGGUAGGUUUUUAUGCAGGAGUAGCGGAUUCGAUAGGAACAGGGCUUCCCCGAGGGUCGGUGCUAGACUCUAAGUUCCUGCGACCGGCCCCGCGAUCAGGGGUGAGGUUCUGAACUUGGUCCAGACGACCGGUGAGGUCGGAGCGUAAUGUGAUGCUGCCGAACAUGAAGAUCUGGCCGGGAACGAAGAUGUCCCUGGCGCAAACAGGGCUUCCAGCGGAUGGUUGGGCCAUCGAUCCUUUGGCAAUACCGCAGCACAAUUAUCAAUGAAAGCACCAAUGUCAGUGUCAAAACCUGCGGAUAUCGGGUAGGGGGUCUCGAACUGGAGAUCUAGGAUCGAUGGGGAACAAGGGACGAAGAACACGGUGUUUACCCAGGUUCGGGCCCUCUCUAAGAGGUAAAAUCAUACGUCUUGCUUGAUUGUAUUGAUGUGUAUGAUAUGAUUAUAGAGUCGAUCUAUCUCAAGAUCAGGCGAGCUAAACCCUAGGUUGAUGGGGGAUUUGAUGUUGCUCUAGCCCUAAAGACUAAAACCCUCUGGUUUAUACAGGCACUAGUAGGUUAGGGAUACAUGCGGCUGAUUACAACAAAGGAAAGCUCAUGCUAAAUCUUGACUUGAAGGUCACUCCACGACUCCGAAGAUCUCCUAUCCGUACCCUAGCUUGGCUCCACUGUAGCCCAUCAGUCCGGCCCAUAAUUAAUGGGCCGGCGGCCCGAGGACCCCUUAAUCCAGGACUCCCUCACUAAUCGUGUGCAUUGAGCAUUUCAGAUUAUCAAACAUAUGGCACAAGACGAUUCGAGCCCCUCGGGUUUCAGAGUGAAGACAGUUUUCUUUCCUGCGUUUCUUUUUUGGUGGAUUUGUCAUAGGUAAAACCAUACUAUCAAGAGGGGGUCCACUUCAAAAAGGUUUGGGUGGAAUCAUCACAUACACGCUCUUAUUGCAGUCAUCUCAUCUUUCCGCCACUUUGGAGUAGUCCAUUUGUGUUGUUGAAGAAGUGGUGGAGAGCAGCAAGCAAUAAUACCACGGGGGAGGGGGGCAGCGGUAGUAUCGCUUAUAAGCGGUAGUACCGCUGCUAGACCCGCUUGUACUACCGCUCUCUGUUGGGGUCGCGUCUUCUUGUGUCAGGUUCUAUGGUAGUACCUCUGUGUUUCUACCAUGUAACCUUAUUAGACCAGCAGGACGAGCGGAAGUAGUAGCGGCAGUAGAGGCAGUAGUACCGCAUGUAGGCGAUAGUACCACCCCUACCACCACUCCCACUACUGCUUGGCGCCCUGUUCUCCCCUGUUUUCUUAUUUCUCCUCCACAUACUGUUGGAAGCGGUAGUACCGCUCCCAGAGCGGUAGUACCGCUUGUGUGCGGGCUGAGAAAAGCAUAGCGGUUGGAUUUGUUCCCACUAUAAAAGGGGGUCUUCUUCCUCAAGAAGACUUACCUCUUCCUUCCCCAAACUCCAUUUUGCUCCAAAGCUCAUUUUCGCCUGAUCUCUCUCCCUAUCCAAUCAAACUUGUUGUUUUUCUAGGGAUUGGUUGAGAAGGCCCCGAUCUACACUUCCACCAAGAGAAAUUUUAUUCCCCCACCAAUACCCUGCCGAUCUUGUUACUCUUGGGUAAUUGAGCACCCUAGACGGUUGGGGUCACCUCGGAGCCACAUUCCAUUGUGGUGAAGCUUCUGGUGUUGUUGGGAGCCUCAAAUUAAGUUUUGAAGAUUGACCCAACCUUGUUUCUAAAGGUCCGGUCGCUGCCUUCAAGGGCACCACUAUUGGAAUCACGACAUCUCGCCUUGUGUGAGGGCGUGAGGAGAAUACGGUGGCCCUAGUGGCUUCUUGGGGAGCAUUGUGCCUCCACACCGCUCCAACGGAGACGUACUUCCCUUCAAAGGGAAGGAACUUCGGUAACACAUCCUCGUCUCCACCAGCUCCAUUUGUGGUUAUCUCUUACCAUUAAUUUGUGCAAAGCUACUUUUGUGGUGUAUCCUUUGCUUGCACUUGUUGUAUUUGUUGUUAGCAUCAUAUAGGUUGCUCACCUAGUUGCACCUCUAGAUAACCUACUUGUUGCUAAACCUGAUUUGUUAAGAAAAGCUAAAAAUUGGUAGUUGCCUAUUCCCCCCCCCCUCCUCUAGCCAACCAUAUCGAUCAUUUAAAUGGGGGGCUCGGGAAGGUCGGAUGUUGUCGAAGACGAGCGAGACGAGGCGGCGGUCGAGGUGGAUCCCGGCGAGGGGAACGGCACGGGCGACAUUGCUGGUGCUCGCCGGUAUCGAUCUUGCGAUGUAGAGGAUGAGAAGAACCCCGCGAAGCUUGUGGACACAACAGCAGGUCGUGUGGUGGCUGAUGGGCGCGACAACGAGGCAACACGGCAACGACAGCGUCGGACGCGACUGGAACGAAGGGGUGAGAGGCGAGCGAGGGGGGUUAGGGUUACGUCGGGAGAGAGAAGCAGCGGGGGAAGGCCUUAUUCACCGCGAGGAGAUGGCAGAUGGCAGACGCGUGCGGUCACCGCGCCAUGGACGAGAGGCAGUCGUCCACCGCGCCCUGGAUGAACAGGGGAGGCAGAAGACCUCCUCGUGGGUUGGGCCAUGCGUUGUGGCCACUAGGGCCCAGCCGCACAGUAGGUUUUUUUCUUUUUAGUUUAUGUUUUCUAUUUUCAUUAUUGUUUUUCAUUUUUCUUUCACAAAAACUGAAUUUUGUUUAACAUGAAAAUUGUCUCAUAAUUACUAUGCAAUAUUUUGGAACUAUCCACAAAGUUCACAUAUUUUUGAAAAGCAUAAGUAUUUGUUUAUUUCAAAAUGGCCAAAUUAAGUGUUGUUAGGCCACCUUAAAUAUCUCUAAGGGCAUUUGGGGAAUUCAAAUUAUGUUGGUUUCUUCAUGAAUAUUAGUUAGUGAAUAUUUGCAACACAACGAACAUUUUUAUUUUGUUGUCUGAAUAAAUAUUAUUUUCGCUUUGUUUUAAAUUUGAGUUUGGCUUGAAUUUUGAUCAAGCGACAAUUGGAUUAGCAAAAAGGUGAUGGCAUGGCACCAUUAGGGGAAGAUUAUUGUAGCAUGAUUAUUGGAGUGUUAAAAAUCUCCUCCACUACAAGAAAUCUCAUCCCGAGAUUUAAGAGGUGGAGUAAGGGGGAAGUUUUGGUUCGAAAUUCUAAUGGAUCUUCUCGUUCUUGGUUGUUGUUCUCAAAGAAGUUGAUCCCUCUCGUUGAUGUCUUCUUUUCUCUACUUUAGGUCAUCAUGAUGAAGUCGUCAUCCUUUCUUCGGGAACUCCAUCGUACUUACAAAUACGGCAAAAGGGGGAAAUUAUAAGGAUCGAUGACUGCAAGGACUGAUAUUCUGUAAUUAGCUCAGGGAAUAAGGCACAAGGUAUCUCUUGAGUUGAACAAAUGAAAUAUACCGAGAGCAAGGGUAAGAAGGUACAAUAAGAAUUUUCAAGCGGGUAGGCAAUCGUUCGAUGCCGAAACCAGAGUGUGAGUUCAGAGCAACAUGGAAUAAUAUUGCAUCUGGUACCAGAAUAGAUCAUCUCUAGAAGAUCCUCAUGAAUUACAUAAGAAGCCAAGUGCGAGGAAUAACUUUCGAAACAUGGAUGUACAGGAGAGCCAGGUUUCGACCUUGUGGAACUGUGGUUAUUGUGGACUAAGAGUAGGAAGAGCGAUGACAUCUUGCACGAUCAUGAUAGCAUGGCAUGUCAGAGGAUAGCUUGCAUGCUAUGUCGGCAACAACAUUGGUACCAAGGGUGGGGGAGAUGCCACUAGUGAACCUAUACCCCUGGUUCUAUUCCCCGUUACUGAAUUCUUCUACAUAGUUGCUACUUUUAGUUGUCGUGCUACUUUGCUACUAUCUAUCUCUAUCACUUGCGUUUAAUCUUGUAGCUAGCAACCCCAGGGGAUUUGACAACCCUCUUACAUGUUGGGGACGAGUGUGUGUGUGUGUGUGUGUGUGUGUGUGUGUGUUCUGUGCACGGGUCCUAUUGACAUUGCUAGCUAGGAGACUCCUACUUGAUUGAUAAUCUUGGUUCUCUAACUGAGAGAAAUACUUGUUACCGUUCUACUUCACCCUUACACUUAGGGAAAACUCAACAACUCAUGCGGGAGCAAGCACCUGUCUAGCAGGUGGACGCUGCUUGGAUUGGUAGAUUGACCGAGAAGAUGGCUCCUUGGGCCGUUUAGGCCUUUUAUCCAUGGGCCCGGCUUUGAGCCUUCAUUUGGGGGAUUAUGUCUACUCCUACGCUCCGGCACAUUGGGAGCAUGCUUUUAAGCACCGGCAUCUCAAAGAGGCCGGUUUUAGGUAGGUCAAUCAAGGUUCUCGGCCCACUUGCACCUAGAUAUGGCGCUGUCGUUGAUCGCCACAUCCAUCUCUUUGAGGAGGUUCCUAGAGUGGUGUGGUGGGCAGUUGUUGGCCUAUAUCUACCCAACUUAGCCUUGAGUGCCUCCUGGGCUUGGAGGAGCUCAUUCCACUGGUCAUUAAGGUAGUUAUCCUCGUCUCAAAGACGUUGAGACGUAUUUUAAAUUCUUUUGGCGGUGCUAACCAGCCUUACACGCAAUGAGUCAUAACUGAGAUUUCCCAAAGAUUCAUUCAGGGCAUCCUCAUUGUUGGGGCCAAGGCUUCUUUCUAGGUUGUCAUCGGGGUUGUAAUCCAUCUCGUCGUUGUCGCCUCCUUUCCCCUUGUCAUUGCCUUUGCCGCCACCGCCACUGCCACCGCCACCGCCACCGCCAAUUUCCCUAAGAUCCGAUACAAUAUGAAUCUAGGUUCUUUGUCGACAGCUUGACUCAACGUCUGGUCGUCAAGUAUGGUGUCUGCAUCCUGGCUCAAGGUCGGAUCUGAAACAUGGUCUAUGUCAUCAUCCUGCGCCAUGACUGGCUCCGAGGUCCCGGCGGGUGUAUCAUUGUGCCCCUCGAUCUGGUAUGACAUGUAGCCCGAGAAGGCAAGCUCGCUGCGUGAAUCUACGAUGUAUUCUAGGUUCCCGGAUCUGAUGACAGACCUCGGCCAGGUUGAAAACUUUGCCUCGGGUGGCCAGUCGAAUCUGCAAAGAGGGUGAUGUUGUAGAAGACAAAUAUCUGUCUCGGCAAAAAGGUCAUGCCACAACCGACCUGAUCGAUGACCUAGAGGCAUGCCAUCGAACCGCUUGGACUACUCAAAGGGACCUGCAUGUGCCACCAAUGAUGGAGUCAAUUCCAGUAGAUCUCCGGUAGGAGGUCCUGAGCUGGCAGCCUUGGUGCAAUGGUAACAGAGACGCAUGAUUUUACCCGGGUUUGAGCUCUCUCAAAGAGAUAAUACCCUACGUCUUGAAUUUAUUGUAUUGAUUUCGAGGGAGUACAAGUUACAGGUUGAUCUACCGUGAGAUCUAUGUGUGUAUGAGGUGUCGUCUAUGAGUCUCGCCCCUCGGUUUAUAUAAAUGCCAAGGGUGUCUAGGGUUUACACAUAGGUCGGUUACAUCUAGGGUAAUCGUGGCGUAAACGACCUAUAUGUCUUGGAGUAUGCGCCAAGUCUUCGAAAGUUUCCAUCUUGGCGUUUCUGGGCCCGACGAACGUGGCCUACUGGUAAAUCAUCCCAGGGGUCCUUGGCCCGGCCCACCUGGCCAGGAGACUAUGUGGUAUGCACCCCCUAGUUCAGGACACCAUCACCCCCGCCCCCCAAAAGCCCCGAGUCUAUGGAAGAUUGGGAGUAGAAGCCCUCUCAAAUUUAUCUCUUGAGGUGAUUAACGACAAGUUGAGCAUGCGGGCUCGUCUACACAAAUAUGGAUGUGCGUGGGGUGUUACAGUAAAAUUGAUGGUCAUGACAUAGGAUGCAAAAAUGAAGGCCCAUGGCACAACAAUCAUGGGGGGGUCAAUAUCGUCCAACGCUUAAUGAGUGGUAACUAGGCGGUUUUCAUGUCCAUCAAUAACUCCUUGGUCUUUUUAAUGUUUUUCCAAAAAAAAAGAUUCCUUUGGUUUGCCUCCUGCAAAGUAAGAGAGCUAUGACAUCUUACUUUCACGCGUUUGGCAGAUCCAGCAUGGAUGUCUUACAGUUGUUCAGGACACCAUCACCCCCCUNNNNNNNNNNNNNNNNNNNNNNNNNNNNNNNNNNNNNNNNNNNNNNNNNNNNNNNNNNNNNNNNNNNNNNNNNNNNNNNNNNNNNNNNNNNNNNNNNNNNNNNNNNNNNNNNNNNNNNNNNNNNNNNNNNNNNNNNNNNNNNNNNNNNNNNNNNNNNNNNNNNNNNNNNNNNNNNNNNNNNNNNNNNNNNNNNNNNNNNNNNNNNNNNNNNNNNNNNNNNNNNNNNNNNNNNNNNNNNNNNNNNNNNNNNNNNNNNNNNNNNNNNNNNNNNNNNNNNNNNNNNNNNNNNNNNNNNNNNNNNNNNNNNNNNNNNNNNNNNNNNNNNNNNNNNNNNNNNNNNNNNNNNNNNNNNNNNNNNNNNNNNNNNNGUAUGGAAGAUUGGGAGUAGAAGCCCUCUCAAAUUUAUCUCUUGAGGUGAUUAACGACAAGUUGAGCAUGCGAGCUCGGCUACGCAAAAUAUGGAUGUGCGUGGGGUGUUACGGUAAAAUUGAUGAUCAUGACAUAGGAUGCAAAAAUGAAGGCCCAUGGCACAACAACCCGGGGGGGGUCAAUAUCGGUCAACGCUUAAUGAGGGGUAAAAUAGGCGGUUUACAUGUCCAUCAAUAACUCCUUGGUCUUUUUAAUGUUUUUCCAAAAAAAAAUCGAUUUGCCUCCUGCAAAGUAAGAGAGCUAUGACAUCUUACUUUCACGCGUUUGGCAGAUCCACAUGGAUGUCUUACAUUUGUUUCCAUUUUUCACAACAAUUCUUUUGACAAUGGGUGGAGUCCACCUACCCCAAUCCAGGCGCCUUCGGCAUGUGAGAAUACCGGUUUCUUUUUUUGCAUUUGUUCUUUUUAGAACAGACUUAGUCAACUUCCUCCCCGCGUCGUCGAGUGGGCAGAGGAUUCAUUCUUUUUUCACCUCCGUUAUUCUGAGAACUGACGGAGUCCACCCCCUCCCCCUUCCUUCUGCAAAGUAGAGGGUAUGUUUCCUUUUUCACAACCUUUGUUUCGAGAAUGGGAGGGGGCCUCCCCCUGCGUCUUCGGCGGGUCAGAGGAUCCAUUUCCGUUUUUCAUGCACGUUCUUUUGAGAAGAUACGGCAUAAAAAAUAAGAUCCGCAAUUUAUUGAGCACGUAAUGAUUUUGCUAUUCCUAAAUCGACCGAGAAAAAACAAUAGCAAAAUCACCUGUUAAAUGCCAUCCGAUCUAAACACGAGAUACAUGCAAGUGUAGACGUGUGCGGAAAUGUUUUUAACGGUCAUUUUUUAGAGAACGGGCUUAUUUCCAAGCCACUAUACUCCACUUGCAACGAAUAAAACCGAACGGGGACACUACGGAACAGCACCGGUGCCUUGGAAUAGGAAUAGAGUAGACCAGGGGUGCGGCCGGGACCGUACCGCAACGUUUCCCACCCGCGUCCCAAAUAAAUCCAUCCAUCCGUCCGGGCGUUACAGCAUCGCCCAACCACUCCUCCAGUCCCGUCCUCCCUCUCCCUCUCCCUCUCGAGCGAGCGAGCCAACCAAGGCGACAAAAAUCCAAGCUGCAGUGCACGCUCCAGCAAUCCGAACCCACCCAACCACCGCACGCUCCGCGGAUCCUCCUCGUGCUCCGCUCGCGAUCUGCCUCCGCGAGCCCAACCCAACCACCCCUCGCCGGAGAUGCGCGCCUGGUGAUCCGGCGAGGAGGAGGAGAGGGCCGAUGAGGUGCAAGCUCCACCCGUACGCGAACGCGCUCGGCGUAUGCGCGCCCUGCCUCCGCGACCGCCUCCUCGUGCUCGCCGCCGAGCGCGACCGGGCCGGGGCCAGCAGCGGCGCUGACUGCAGCAGCAGCAGCAGCCGGGGCAGCUCGCCCACGCGCGGGCGCGCCGCGUCGCCCUUCGCCGCCGCCCCGGCGCAGCAGCACCGGCGCUCCGACGCCUGCGCCUACACGUCGUCCCGCCACAGCCACAGCCACCGCCCCGAGCUCCUCUUCUUCAGCACGCCGCAGGUCGGCCCCGCCACCCGCGCCGCGGACGACGAGCCCCGGGAGACCGAGCGGAAGAAGUCCUUCCAGCGGAGGCGAUCCUUCUUGGCAACGCUCUUCGGCGGAGGGCGGCGGGGCAGCCGGGAGGAGGAGAGCGAGAGCAAGAAGGACCCGCCCCGGCGGUCCACCUCGUGGCUGUCGGCCAUAGUCCGGCGCAAGCGGAGGCCGGACGCGUCGUCGUCGUCAUCGCUGCCGCGGCCGGUGGACGAGGAGCCCGAGUCCCCAGGAGGCAGCAUGAGCGGCAGCUGGUGGUUCCCAUCGCCCUCCCCGGCCAGGCACCAUCACCACCCCCAGCGGCGCAGCAGGCCCAGCGGAUCAGGCGCCAGCGGCGACGGGAUCUCGGGGUUCGCGGUGUGCCUGAGCCCGCUGGUCCGCCCCAGCACGGGCGGUCGCCGGCGGUGCCAGCAGCCGGACCCGUCGACCCUGGGCGAGAGCCACCGGCGGCACCUGUCGGCCAGCAGCGCGGCGUCCUUCGGGCGCAACACCUCCCGGAAGCUGGCCGACAUGGGCAGGUUCCGGUGACGUGGCGGCCGCUCCGGCCGGCAAACCGCCUCCUCUUUUCCCCCGUCAGAAAUCGUCACCUUGUCCUCCCGCAAAAUUUGACCUUUUGCUGAUGCCGUGCGCUGUCUACUCGCUGAGAGACGAGAGAAAGAUAAUCAAAUGAAGUUGUUUUGUUUUUCAGUUUCUUGUUUGAACGGGAGCUGCGCUGUUCAGCUGCGGUAGCUUUGUGUGAAUUACGACGAGACGACCUGGGCGGCCAGGCCCAGCUCACAGGUCACCUCAUUUCUUUUGUUUGAACGUGUGUUCUCUGACCUCUGACACCUACGACUUCAAUUUUGUUCCGCUCUGCCCUCCCAUUUAUUUACGUGCGGCUGUAUUGCUUCGAGAGCCCGUGCCUGUGUUUUUCCAUUCAUGUUUCGAAUUCUCGGGAGGUGGAAGACGACUGUUAGCGGCAUUGUUUAGCUGCCUGUGCUACGAGUAAGAAGAAGAAGAAGCUUCUCCCGGUCCCGGGCAAUGCGUGUGUCAGUCAGUAUGUUUUACUAGUAUUUUUAUUAUAUAAAAAAAGAUGAAUAAAGCCUUGUACUGGACAUUGGCAAGGCGAGGGCAAUGAUUAGCUUAGCAGGAUACUCAUCCCUUGGGAACUGAGAUUGCAUCGAGCUCGAGUGAGAGAAGCUGGACUCCUGGAGAGGGUGAGAUGAUGAAGGAUACAUAAAGGAUAAACAGGAUGAAACGGAAAGCAAUGGGCGCAUCACAUCACCAUUAGGAUGAUAAUGCGAUGCGACGCCAUGGCUUGUGGUAACAAAAGGAAAACGCAUAUCCCUUCUCCUCCUCGACGUGGCUCCCCUGGCUACAACGACGUCCUCUGUGCUUCCCGUCUACCCACGUACUAGCACUAUUACUACGACAUUGUGUGCGUGUGUGCGCGCGCGCUCCGGUCAUCUAGGCAGCACAAAACACCACAAAAGCGGGGGCGCCUCUUUCCUCGCGGCCAAGACUGCAAAUUCCCACGCCUUUCUCUGUUUGUUCGAUCGGACAGCCGAUGCCAAAAAGAGCCCGUAGAGCAGAGCACGCGGCCAUGGCCUAGGAGCAAGGUCCCCGAUUCCUACUCAUCACAAAACUACAGCUAGACCACUCCAGUAAAAAGAGACCAACCAAGCGCAUCACAGCACCACUCAAGUGCUAUCUUACACUACGAUAAUACUGCUGCAGCAACGAGUAAAAAAUAAACGCAAAUGCUAACUGGCAAAUGUUUGCUGGGAAGGAACUCCCAACGAACGCCCUCGCAGCAGUUUUGGGAAAAGAAAUUGUCUUCUGUAUGAAGAAAUUGUCAUGCUAGUCUCAAGAAAUUGCCACCCCGGCCCUACAAAUCAGAAUAAAUAGAUUCAGGCAGCACAACAACAAGCAUAGCUACCAGCAAACAGUCAAUAAUCCCAACCGUUCAAGCAAAAAGAGAAUAACCAAAACCAUGAGACCCAUCCAUGUCUGCCGACUACUUCACCGUAAAAAAAAAUAGACGACCGUUUCACCAAAGAUACGCCAGCAUCCGAACGCAAAAGAUAGAUCCCUCCGUCCGGAAAUACUCGUCGGAGAAAUGGAUGUAUCUAGACAUACUUUAGUUUUUGAUACAUCCAUUUUUAUCAAUUUCUCCGACAAGUAUUUUGAGACGGAGGGAGUAUAUGUUUACGCUUUCCCUCUGGAGAAUGCGAACAUAUUCUUUUUUUUUGAAAAAAAAAACCCUAUAUUAAUUAAUUAAUUAAUAAUGUUAUUACAAUCUUUCAUUACAAAAUUCGCCACGCAGGGCGGAACACUAUUAAGAAGAAUCCCAUCAGAUUUAUUUAUAAAGCUAAACUUCGCAAUUUCGUGCGCCACCUUAUUGGCCUGCCGAUUAAUUUUCGCAAUUUUAAAAUUCUUGAGCAUCGUCAGUAUACUCAAGGCUUCUUUCUUCAUAUUCAAAAGCAUAUGUGUGAAGUGCGUGGUGUGUUCUCUACGCCCUUCCCCCAGAAUGUCCUUGUCAGGAAAUCAGUGGGAAGGGAAAUGCCCGGCAACUCGCUCAUCUUGCUAGGGCCUUUAUUUCCUUUCAGUAUUGUUAUACUACUAACAAGGCGCAUAAGUCAACUGCGCAGUGCAGACAGUGUGCACUGGGCAUGCAGCAAACGCAACGGCCAGGUGCUCAGCUUUUCGGCGCUGAAAGAAACUUCCAUCCACCACAAGAGGGCCUACCGUGAAACAACCGCUAGUGGCCGGUGCUCGAUGGCCGGCAUGCCGGGCAAUGGAGCUUGCUCCUCCAUUCUUAUGGACUACCCAGUGUGAAAAUCAUUCGCCCAAAAGAUCACAGACAAAUGAAAUACUCUAUUAAAGGAAUAUUAAUUAAUUAAACAGAAGACUGAAAUGAAAUGAACAGAAGCAGGCAUCUUCUUUGUCAAAAGGAAUAUAAUAGCGGCUGAUUGCCAUCUUUCCACACGGGGAACCACCCUUCGGACACACGCAAAAGCGCGGGCCGAAAGCCUGAUUUCAUAUGGCUGCUGAUGGCCAGAUUCCAAAUUUUAGAGGGGCUACAGGCUGAUCUAUCAGUGGCGGUUCGACCGUGACGACUCUAGAUGGAUCAAGCGAGCAGACUGCCAACUGCUGAAAGCUCCGCUUGGGGUCCUAGUAUGGUCAGUCAAGGCGGUGCAGCAUCUUGAUGCUGUCACUUGCCCCUUUGUUAGGUUGCAAACUUGAUUCCAAAAUAUUAUAAAGAAAUCAAUACUUGAUUCCAAAAUAUUAUAAAGAAAUCAAUCUAGGGGUCCCACUGCUAGCUGUGGAGACUCAAAUUUCCUCUCGAAAUAUUAAAGAAUUAUUAAAGAAUUUUAGCCGACACCUUAACUGCUUCUGGUUAGAGUUAGCAUUCUAGGAUAUGUGGUAGCCGCUCAAUGGCAAGUGGUCCGAAACAGUGCGCUGAUCCCAAAUGCAACAGCAGUGAAACAUACAGUAGUUCAGACCAGGGCUUGGCUAACAAUAGCGUGCAGGUUUCAGCUUGCAUUGCUGCUAAGAGUUUACUACUGUACAAUCCAUCACAGAACUUAUCCCACGAAUAGCUUAACACUGCUGUGUAUUAUAUGAAAAUCUGGCCCAGAUUCGUUGACCUAUAUAAGAUAAUUCUUGCAGGAACUAAACAGAAACAAUAGUGAAAAGGUACGACAAGAGGUCUCUCAAUUAGGACAUACCUGAAAGCCUUGGGCCCAUGUGUCAGGACUCCGCGAGUGCUUCUCGUCGGCCUUUAGUGGGGAACAAAAUCAUGCCUACCAUAUCCAUUGGCAUAACAGAAGGUUAGUGGUGCUAAAUGAUUGGCAGACCUCAAUGUGCUCCACGGGGCCCAUACUUAGCGUCGAGAUGCAUAUUUCCAUUCAGAUCUGAAAGCAGCCACGAGAUCGAUGUGAGGCAGAUUUUCAUACAGGCAUACAGCACUAGGAUACUCUGGCACAAAAAGAACCCAAAAAAAGAAAACAAUCAACUGGAAACGGCAACAGGAAGAACAAACAUGGGUAUGCAGGGACCAGUUUCAUGUAGCGUGGAAUUCAAUAUACGAAAGAAGAUAAUGAUAAACAAGACUUAUUGUUCACGAAAAACGAAUCAUCAAUCUUGCCAACUCCAGGAGGCCAUAUGGGAAAAAAAAAGUCAAACAUGGUUGCUGCACCUAUUAUUCACACUCAUUUAGUUCUUGUAAAUAUGAAGCUUGAUUGACUCUGCUCAGGUGUUUCAGUUUACCUAGAUGGUACUAAAGACUGAUAGUACAAGAAAGCUGGAGCGCAAAAACUAUGAUGAAGUCACAAAGUGAACCACCAGCAAAAUGCUUUUUGUGAGACUAAGAACAUAUAAUCAGACUUUUGCAGGCAUAGUCUUAGACUAUUUGUAGAGUUCAACACAGGAAAAACAUUAUGAUUUUUAUGAAGGUCAUAGACAAGGAGACGAGCAAUAGAGAUGCAAAAUGAGUACAAGCUUCAUAGGUCUGGAUGAAGAGUAUAUAUGGUUGGGAAUGACAAUAGUCCGAAUGUUAGACAUACCUUAGAAAAGAAGAUUUAACAUUAGUUGUACAAGAUCUUGUGCUUCGACUUCCACUUCUCUUCUCUCUUGCUCUCUUCCAAUUAUAUUAUUGGGCAUAGUCGAAGCAUGAACAAAGGGCCAAUCUACUUCUGACAGCAAAAGAUACAAGAACACUAAAAAAAACAUUUGCAAUCAAAAUCCAGGGCAAGGAUGGGAAAGUAAACGAAUUGGAACGUUAACAUACAAGAACAGAUCAACAGAGUACUCUAAAUAGUGACGAAACUUAGUUGUCUGCAGUUGUUUCCAAUGCUAAGACUACAAACAGCAUCCCCAGCUCAUCCCAGCAGAAACAGUAUCUUGCGUUGACACAUAAUAGUGACAAGCCAUCCAUCAUGCAUGAUAGGCAGAGUAGUUUGCAUGAUUAGCACACACCUUGCAAGUUGCAACAGGGCUAUUUACAGAACCCAACAUAAGUAAGGAUAAAAGCACAAGAAAACAAUGACAAAUUUAUGUCAGAAAACUGUCUAUCCUUUUCCCACUGCAAAUGAUGCUGCAUCUGUUAAAUGUGUGUACUAAAUUAACAUCGACUGUUUUUCUUUUCCUUGAAGGUCAUGCCAUGCGCACUACAAGUGCCCAGGGGAAAACAAAUAGAAAAAGAAACAAUAAACUGAAACAUACAGAUUCUAGGACAUAGAUCAGUCACAAAAAUAUGGUUGAAUGCCAUUUUUUUACUGAAUCAUUAGGAAAUAGUAUGUCUUAAUACAUAAAUUUAUCGAUAAAUUAUAGCAUUUUGCUGUUGACAAAAUUUUCUCCAAAACAGAAGAAAGUAGUACAUAUGGGCACAAACUGAACAAAAAAAUGCAAAUAAAAUAUGUGACCAAUUCAGGGGUUUCCGCAUUUAUCUUAUGGCUCACACACUGCGAUUGGCAUCCGGUGAGCUACUCCCUCUAUCAAAAUAUAAGUCAUUUUUUUAUACUCCCUUUGUAUCAAAAAACGUCUUAUAUUUUGAUAAAGAGGGAGUACUUCACCAUAUCAGCGAAACAAGUUAACAUGAGCAACCUUCCACAAGGCCAAGGAAAUUUAUUAUCCUUUAGUAGUAACUUCAGCAAGCUCUGUAUUUGAUAAAAGAUUGUACAGAUGACCAUUUGAAAAAACAGGAUAUGCUGUCAUAGAAUCUGUGUUCAAUAAAUUUCCUACAUAACUUUAAAUACAUAGGCUUGAUAAAGUCUUACUAAAAGACAUGAAUGAUGUAUGAGCAGCUGGCCUUGAUGCAGAUGCACUGUUUGGAAGCAAAAUGAUCCUGAGUUGCAUUAUUGAAGUUCAUGUUCUUGCACCAUGCCCUGAGCAUUUGAAAAUGGUCUUCAAGGAUAGAGCCGCACAAUAUGUCAUGUCCUUGAGCAGGAAGUAACCAUCUAGCUAGGCAGUUAUGAACCAGCCAGCAAAAUGCUAGAAUCUGCUUGACAGUAGUACACAUUUACAUAGUCUGUUUAGUCCAUCGGUGAGUUGGUCUCUUGUAAAUUCAGUGGCAGCAACCAACUGUUAUCAUAAUUAAGCCUUGGUGAUUUUACAGAAAUUAUUGACACUCAAGACAUUUCAGUAGGUUGUGGAAAACCCUGAUGGCCUCCAUGCCCUAGUUCCUUGUUAUUCAAUUCAUCUGUGUCUGAACCAAGGUCUUCUAUGGAAUCUUGGACAUCACUCUCUUUUGAAGAAGGUAGUAAAACUGCAUUUUUCUUGUAGCUCCAUACAAGCAUUGAAAUGUGGUCUUGUGGUGUUAUAAGCCCCUCCUCUCUAAUGCAACUCCGCUGCUCUUCCAGUGUUUGUUGAUCUGUGAGCUUUAUAUAUUCAAGCAAAAACUUCUCGUGGUCUGGGCGCCACCCGCUUGGUAAUGGUGUAUAGUCAGGAUCAGGAACCAUUGACAUCCUUGUAUACUGGAGUCCAUCAACUGAGUCUACAAGACCCAUUCUCAGCAAAUUGGUGUACUCUGGUGACUGCCCUUUCUUAUCCUUCAAUGGUCGACUAAGAUUCCUUGAUGCAAUCUUAUAAACCUUUGCCCUUGACCGCAGCUUAUACUUGGCGGCAUAUAACUUUGCCAAGGACCCCCUUAUAAUGUAGGAGCAAAAGUUGACAACCUUUUUGCGGUUAUCAGCGUAGCGAUACCAUUCUGCCAUCGUCGUUAAAAGCUUAUUCAUCUGCAAGUUAGUGUGAGCUUGUGUGGCAUGGAACAUCCGGAAACAUGGCUGUGGGUCUGGCUCACGGUCUCCCUUUAAAAACUCUAGCUUCCGGAACUGCCUGAUGCACUGUUUCAAACUGGCUGUAACAGAGAGCAAAGUACCAACCCCCUUCUCGCUAAUGAUCUUGCCUCCAGUGGCUGUGUAACGGAGGGUUGGGUACACGACACGACGACACAACACAUGAUCAAGAAACAUGAUCCCUUUAGUGAUGUGUUCAAUUGGGAGGCUCUCAUUGUCAAGCUUGAUCCUGAACCGCUGAUCACAAAAUUCAAUGAGCUGCUUUCGGAUCACUGCAGCAUCAGCCCUAGGCCCCCUCACCCCAAUCAAGAAAUGCCCGCCAAACCGAAUAUAGUCCACCUUCCUUGUUUUGUCAGGCCCGCUCGUGGGUACAAACUCCGGCCAUGAUGUAUUCCCCUGCUCGAUGCCAUCCUCCCCUCCCACAACAUCCGACUUGGACGGCUUGUAGAACUCCUUGAUCUUCUCGUCCAUCCACUUAUCAAACUCAUCCAGGCAGACAUUGGCGAGCAACGGGCUCAACACCCCACAAUGCCCCCAAUCAGGCUGAGUCAGAGCCUCCUCUGGUGCAAACCCAAAGAAUGUCUGCAACCAGUAGGGGUCAGGCUUCGGCUCCCCUUCAGGCAGCACCUUCUUUUUCUGGUACUUCCUCUUCUUCUUCUUCUUUGAUGCAUCAUCAUCACCAGGCCUUGCGGUCACCACUGGAGUAAGCAGCGCCGAACGGACUAAAUCGACGACUUUCUUGUCACGCACAUCCCGGAUGAGCGCACCGACCACGAGCGCAGGGUCGGGGGAAUCAAGCAGCGGGGAGAGGUCUCCCUUGAUGUACCAGAGGUAGGGCGCCCAGCUCCGGCGGAUGCUACGGAGUGUGGCAUGCGGGGAUCGCCCAGGGCGGAAGGCAAAGGACUUGGGCGAGAACCGCGCCUCAUACACGGGCUCGAGCAGCAGCAGGAGUAGCUCUUGCACGACGCGGUCCUGGAAGGGGGCCGGGCCCGGGGUGGUGAGGAGGGCGCGGAGCUUGCGCUUGGAGAGGGUGGCGGGGUCCGGGGCCGCCGCGGCGCGUGGGGAGUGGAGGUAGGGUGUGAGGCGGUUGCCGAAGCGGAAGCGGGCGUCGAUGACGGCGUUGCGGAGCGUGAGGAUGGAGGUGAGCGUGGAGGCGGGGAUGGAGGAACGGGGUAGGUAGGAGCCGGUCUCGUCCGCGUAGGCCUUCUGGUAGGCGAGCACCCAGAGCUCGAGGCGAGUGAGGAAGGGGGCCAGCGUCGGCGGCGGUGGCGGAGCGGCGUCGCCAGGCGCGGCGGCGCGGAAGGAGGAGACCCACAGCGACGCGGUGAUGGACACCGGGUCGUCGCGGAGGAGCUGGGUGGGGUCCAAGGGGUUUCCGCCGACGCUGCUUCGCCCCGUGCCGGCGGCGGCGUUGGGGUCGGCGACGAACUGGUGGCGGCGCGAGGAGGGCGGCGGCGGCCGCGGUCGGUGGUGGGCAAGGGAGGAGCAGCCGCGGAUGCGGAGGAGGGAGCAGAGGAGCGCGCGGCGAGGCGGAGGCAUCGGGUGGAGGCGGGAGCGGGGGCGGAUGGCUAAAACCCUCGCGUCGCGCGGAGGUCGCCGGCGUCGCGGGUUUUGGCUGGGGAAGUGAGAUGGUGGUGGAGGCGGCCACGGCGGCGCGGCGAGAAUGGAAGGGUUGGGCCACCACGCUCACAGUGGAAAGCCCAUUGGGCUUUGUGGUGCAUAUAGCGGUGCAGAUUUUUCGAACCUGAGUGUAAGCGCACCCUGAGAAAAAAUAAUUAAACUUAGUCGGAAUAAACAUUGUCUAGUAUUAUCACUCACGUGUAAAGUUUCGCGAAAAAAUGACUUACGUAGUAUUACUGGAAAAACGACAAAAUUACAACUACAAACCGUGUGAAUGAUAAGCUCCACUUGAUAUAGUAUCAGUCAGUUUGUAUUCAUUCAGAAUACCACGCAAGUCAUUUUGUCGUGAAACUUUACAUGUGAGUGAUACACUAGACUAUGCUUGUUCCGACAAAGGUUCAAAAAUAUUUUACCCAUGUCCCAAGGUGUAUUUUCGGCAAAUAAUUCUCAAAAAUAAACAAAUAGUAGGCAAAUUCUACAUGUUAUGGGCGGAACAGCGAGCGCACACACACACACACCUGCAUGCACCAUGUAUCUUCAUGGACCUAGCGGCGAGGCGGGAGUGGAGCGACGAUGGCGAGACGGCGUCGAGCGAGGCACUGAGCCUGAGCUUGAGCCGCGACGACCAAAUAUGAGCGGUUCAGGUCACCGGUGUCAGAGGGGAGAGGGUUAGAGGGAAGGCCGGAUGGGGGGUGAUGGCUCGACAAGGCGAUACGAAAGGGACGUCAGCCAACUUGCAAGCACCAUGUGUCUUCUUGGGCAUGAUCCAGUUAAGGAAUGACAUCGUCGAGGCGGGGGUGGAGGGACAAUGGUGAAAAGGCAGCGAGCGAGGCACUGAGCCUGAGCCGGCGACAACCAAACUUGAGCGACGCGGGUUACCAACUUUUCCAUGUAUAGUACUAAAUGUGGUUGCCGUGAUAUAUAAACUAUGCAUUCAAUGAAAAUAGCACCUAUAUUCAAAUCAUUUCAUUGUUGGCAUAAUUAUGAAUAUGAUAUGUACAAUUCAUAAUUUUGAAAGAUAUGAAGGUAAUAACCGCAUCGAGAUACUACGCCCCAACCAACGACAAUCUAACAAAGAGUUGUCUAAUAUAUUUGCCCAAAAAUGUAUGCAAGCACUAGCUGCUAUUUACGUAUUCCCUCAGUCCCAAAAAAAUGUCUCAACUUUGUACUACUAAAGUUCUAUUAAAGUUGAGACACUUAUUUCAGACGGAGGGAGUACCUUUUAUCUUUGAGAAACUUUCUGAUUUGGUGAAUAAGGAGUUCUGGAUUUCCUUCUCCGGCAUGAUCUUGAUCUUGUUUGAGUAAUUGUGUAAAAUAGAACUCUUUCGUAAUACUAGGGCUUAUGAGAUCGACACAAAAGCUUGAUAGUCUAAGUGCGGUCCAAGCUUGUUAUAGACCUGUCUAGUAAGGGUCAUCUUACCUACCCCCACCCUUUCCAAGAAUAGAGAAAACUCUUAGCUGAUUUGUCAAUUCACCUCCCUUGUCAUUCAGCAACUUCACAAACUCAUCUCUCGGGUAAUUGAUGCCAACAAACUCUGAUGCAUCUUCAUAUACCGCGCGGAAAGUCGUGGGUCACAAGGCAUGGAGAGCCAUCGACCUUGUCCCUUUAGUGAUUACGAAGCAAGAAUUAGAUAUAAGUAACAGAGUUUAAGGAGUUGCCAUUUAGAUACAUUAUAACCGAGCACUAAUCAAGCCAUCCCCGGCCAUUAGCAUUAUUAACCGUUAGAUGUGUUGUUUAACCCUUUUCUGACCGUUGGAUGAUGUUUUAAUCCCGCGUGGGCUCUAUCGCUGGACACUGAGCGCUUAACGGUAGUGGGCCGCUGCUCCACGAACUAUUUCCGACGUUUCUUGUGACUUUGGACCAAAUGGGCUAAGGUGUCAUGACUGGAAAAAAAAGGCACUCUUCGGUCUCACGGAGAGGCCACUACUCCCGAAAAAAAUUGAAAGCCCUUCAAUUCACCUCCAUCUCUCCUCUCGCUCGUGUGACAAUGGAGGAACCCCUACACUGUUCCCAGAUGGGGGGCAAUGGCCCCCAAGCCUUACAUCAUUGGCGAUCCUAUGGCGAGUGUUGAUGUCCAAUAUAUUUUUCUUGAUUUUGCCACGAAUCUCCUUGAAGCUUUUCGACUUGGAACCGGAAUCAUGGUUCACAAGUAACAUGAACUUGUUGAUGUUGUCCUCAAUAUCAUAUGACAGCUCUCACACAACAUCAUCACGAAGCGUGACUUGGUGGUCAGGCCCCUCCACAUCUGCCAUCAUGGCAGGAAUGCUUGCAUAGCCUUGAGAUCAUCCUUGAGGAGCUCGAUUGCAUGACUCAUGAUGGACAUCCUUGAGAAGCUUGUGCUCACUGGCAGCAUGGUUCCCAACUUCCCCAAGAGGGAUGUCAUCGCUCCCGCUGUCGCGCUAACCAGAACUCUUUCCAUGGUUAUUGUGGAGAAUCAAACUAACCAUCAUUGCAUCGUAUUUCUCAAUGUGCUACAUGAUCUGCUCAUCCUAUGCUUGUUCUCCUGCGACGACGAGGGGUUCUUCUUGUCGGAGACGACAGCCACAGGCCGGAAGGGGUACCAGUAGUGGGCGAGUAAAUUUAGUACUUGAGUGGGAAUGGGAGUGGGAGCGAGCAGAGUGCUCAAUAAUGGAGAGAGACCCCUCAUAGAACUACGUCGAUUAAGGUCAUCCAUAGUGUGUGCCAAAUAGCAUUACCAAAUUGAGUUUUGGCUUUUGGAAACCUCAUUAGACUAGUAGCAUAGUGAUGCGUCUGCAACAUAUCUAUAAUUUUUGUAUGUUUCGUAGCUUUUAUCUAUCAUUUUUUGCAAAGUUUUGAAGUUUAUUGGAUUAACACAUUAAUAAAGUGCCCAUCGCCAGUCUCUAUUUGUCAGCGUUUGUGUUUUUUAAGGAAAAUAGGUAUUUUAAACUUCCGAGAAAAUUCCAGAAAAAUAGAAGAGCAGUUUCAAGCCAGUAGGGGCACCAUGGGCCACACCAGCUAGCCAGGUGGGCAAUAUGGCGCCUAUGUGCCCUAUGUAGGCUCCAUGGGUCUGAGUGUGCCUAGGCACCCUAGGGCUGCCUAUGGUGACUCGGUGCCCGAUGGCUUAUAUAUACCCCAGCACACACACACCCCUCGAUUUAUGAUGGAUUUUUUAUGCUGUUGCCACUCCCUAGUUUGAGGUAUCUUUAUUUUUAGCCCUAAUAUGGCACUCUAUGGGAGGGGGGAUCUUCUUUGACCCCUUCAUCAACCCUUAUUGCUCCCAUGGCAAUGAAGGAGUAAUACCUUCGAGGUUGAGGGUUUGUGGUACUACCUCCGUCUCGGUGAAUAAUUCAUUCACGUAGUUCUAGGUCGACGAUUUAACUAUUUAAAUAUGUAUUAUAUGUGACAAAAAAUAUAUAUUUAGAAACUACAUCCGUGUAGAAAUCUAGUGAUAAACUUUUUAUGACAUAUAACACAUAUUUAAUUCCUCAAAUCGAUGACCUAGAACUACACAAAUGACUUAUUCAUCUAGACGGGGGUAGUAGUAGCUAUGUGGCAUGUAUCUCUUUUUCUUGAUCAUAAGAAUUGCGGCCAUAAUUGUGAUCUAGGGAAUUGAUGAUUAAUUGAAAUAUACAAUGUACCUCUUGUGACGAGGACCUUUAUGGACUAAAUCAUGUUCAUGUUAUGUUGAACUUUAGGAGUUAACGAAAUUACAUGAUGCAUACCUAGUAUAAUUUUCUGGAGACACACGUGGCACAUUGGGGUAACUCGGUAGAUUAAGAUUAGAACGAUAAAGAUCAUGUGUUGUUGUUGUAAUAUAAUUUCUGUGGUUGCUUGUGUUGAUAUUGGGGUGGCUCAGUAUAUUAAGAUUAGAAAGACAACUUUGAGGUUGUUAGCACUCUGCGCACCUGACAGAUCUCAUCCAGGUUUGAUCCAAUAAGGGACUUUGUAAUGGUAUAUCAUGUAUUUUAAUGAAGUGUCAUGUUGAGAAUUGACACUAGUGAACCUAUGAAUCCCAGGCCAUGUUUUCAACCAUUGCAAACCACGUUUCAAUCACGUUUUCAUCUUGUUUGAUGAAAUGUCAAUGGCUUUAACUACCAUUUUUUAUUUUAAUCUUUAGCCGUUUGUAGUGAUGGUCGUCUGCUCAAAUCAAGUACUCCCCCGAUUCAAAUUAAUUGUCGCAGCUUUAGUACAACUUUAGUACUAAAGCAUAAAGUUGUACCAUAGUUGCACCAAUUAAUUUAGAUCGGAGGGGUGUAAUGUCCGCGAUCUGAUCGGAGGAUCGAUGAUCUAGAGAGGGGUUGAGGGAGCAUGCGAGAGAGGGGAUGAGCUUGGAGAAGGGGGCUGAGAUUACAGAGGAAAGUUUGGAUACAGAGUUUGGCUUACACACGCAUGCCCUCCCCUGGCCACAGGCGGCCACCCUUUAACGCUACCUACGCCUCCACUUGGCUGGCCAGCUGGUUGGGCCCACCAGCCAGCUCCUUAGUCACGCUAACAUCUGCUUAGGUGUGACAUUCUCCCCUCCUUAAGAAGAGGCCUCUCCCUCCCAGAUGGGGGCCGUGGGAAAUCGCCGACGUAGCACGUCGUAGUCCUCCCAAGUGGUCGUGUCCGAGGACGAAGACGACCACUAGAUCUUGAGAUGCACCACGGACGCGUCACCAUGCUUCAUCAUUCGCCGCUCCAGGAUCUUGAUAGGCUCGGCCAUUGACGCCUAUAAGUCGUGGACUCGGGGAAGCUCGGCGAACACCGGCGUGUAAUCCGGCGUGAACGGCUUCAGCUGGGAGACAUGAAAAACUGGGUGCACGCGGCUGUCCGGCGGCAAGUCCAGUUUGUAAGCCAGCGGUCCAAUCUUCUCCAACACGGUGUAGGGGCCGAAGAAUUUGUAUGCGAGCUUGGCGCAUGGGCGCGAGACCACCGAGCGUUGCACGUAUGGCUGCAACUUCAGUAGGACUCGUUCCCCCACCUGGAAGGAGCGUUCGACGCGGUGCUUGUCCGCCUACUUCUUGAAGCGGUGCUGGGCGCGCGUCAGCUGCGCACGGAUGGCAUCCGUAUGCGCUGCCCAGUCCAGGUCGUCACCGGCUGGUGCCUCCUCUGCCCAGGUUGCCAUGGCGCCCAAAUUGGCUUCUCUGCCAUACAGGGCCUUGAAGGGCGUGCAGUUGAGGGAGGAAUGGAAGGUCGAAUUGUACCAGAACUCAGCCAUCGGUAGCCAGCGGUGCCACUUGUUGGGGGAGUCGUGGACGGCGCAGCGCAGGUACAUCUCCAGGCACUGGUUCACCCUCUCGCUCUAGCCAUCGGUCUGCGGGUGGUAUGCCGUCGAGUACAGCAGUUUGGUGCCCGCGCUCUCCAGGAGCUCAGGACAGAGGUUGCUGGUGAAGAUCUUGUCGCGGUCGGAGACAAUGGAAGAAGGAAUCCCAUGCAGCUUCACAAUGUUAUCCCAGAACGCGCGGGCGACUGUUGUCGCGGUGAAGGGGUGGCGAAGUGGCACGAAGUGCGCAAACUUGGUGAAGCGAUCAACAACCACCAUGAUGGAGUUGUAGCUCUCGGACGCCGGCAAGCCCUCGAUGAAAUCCAUUGUCAGGUCCUCCCAUGGCGCAGAUGGAAUGGGCAAGGGCGCGAGGAGGUCGGCCGACUUGGUGUGCUCGUGCUUGGCCUGUUGACAGGUGGUGCAUUGGUGCACGAAUUCCUCCACAUCCUUCUUCAGACCACGCCACUCGAAAUGCUUCUUGACCCGGUGAUAGGUCGCCGUGAUGCCGGAGUGGCCACCCACGACGCUGUUGUGGAGCGCGGCGAUCAGCUUGGUGCGCAGGGUUGUGUUUGCCCCGAUCCAGAGCCUGCCUUGGCGACGAAUGAUGCCUCGAUGAAGCUCGUACCCCUCUGCAUCCGGACUGGACAGUGCUAAGUGCUGCAGGUGUUCCUGGGCAUCUACAUCUGUCGCGUACGAGUUAGCCACCUCUUGCAACCAUGCCGGCUGAUAGGUCGAGAGCGCGGCCAAGUCCAUCCGCUUGCCCACUCUGGAGAGCACAUCUGGUGCUCCAUUGUCGAGGCCGCGCUUGUACAGGAAUCAAAAUUGAAGGCCGGCGAGCUUGGACAUGGCCUUGCGCUGUACGUCUGUCUCCAGGUGUUGUUCUCCCAAGUUGCAGAGGCUCUUGUGGUCCGUGAGGAUGUCGAAUGGCCCGCGCUGAAGAUACUGACGCCAUUUGUCCACCGCCAUCAUAACGGCUAGAAACUCCUUUUCAUAAGUGGAGAGUUUUUGAUUGCGCACACCCAGCGCCUUGCUGAAGUAAGCCACGGGGUGCCCCUCCUGGGUGAGCACCAUGCUGAUGCCCCUGUCACAGGCAUCCAUCUCGAUGGCGAACGGCUUGUCGAAGUUGGGGAGCGCGAGCACCAGGGUGGUGACCAUGGCCUGCUUGAGCAGGUCGAACGCUGCCUGAGCGUGCUCAGUCCACUCGAAGCCUUUCUUGGUGAGGAGCUGCGUGAGGGGCUUGGCGAUGAUGCCGUAGUGUGGCACAAACUUGCGGUAAUAGCCGGUGAGGCCGAGGAAACCGCGAAGUUCGGUCGCUGUCGUCGGCGUAGGCCACUUCACCAUGGCCUGGGUUUUCUCCGCAUCGGUGGCGACGCCCUCGCUGGAGAUCACAUGGCCGAGGUAGUCUAUGUGGUCAGUGGCGAAUUCGCACUUGGAGGCCUUGACAUAGAGUUGGUGUUGACGAAGCAAUUCCAGCACCAUACGCACGUGUUCCAGGUGUUCUUCCAUCAUUUCACUGAAGACCAAAAUAUCGUCAAGGAAAAUGAUGACGAACUUGCGGAUAUACUUACUGAAGAUCGCGUUCAUCAGGCACUGAAAUGUUGUCGGUGCGUUGGUGAGGCCGAACGGCAUGACACGGAACUGAAAAUGGUCGUGAUGGGUUUUGAAUGCUGUCUUGGCCUCAUCUUCUUCUCGCAUUCGAAUCUGAUGGUAGCCAGACCGCAAAUCCAACUUGGAGAAGACUGUGGCACCCGCUAGUUCAUCGAGCAGUUCAUCCACGAUUGGCAGGGGGAACUUGUUCUUGAUAGUUGCGUCAUUGAGCCGGCGGUAAUCGAUGCAAAACCUCCAGGUGCCGUUCUUCUUCUUGACGAGCAACACCGGUGCCGCGUAGGGGCUCACGCUGUGUGUGAUAACCCUCGAGUCCAGUAUUUCACGAACCUGUCGCUCGAUCUCGUCUUUCUGCAGAGGAGAGUAGCGGUAGGGGCGAGUGUUGGCUGGAAUCGCCCCUUCCACCAACGUGACGGCGUGGUCAUACUGCCGGUGUGGCGGCAGGCCGUGAGGCGCGGCGAAGACAUCCGCGUGCUCGUCGAGAAGAUCAGCGAGCGGUGUGUGACUCGGUGUCUUGCGCUUAGUCUGGACGGGUGGGCAGGCAUCCACCAUGGCCAUUGCCCAAACCUCAUUGCCUGCGAUCAAUUUGUGAAGCUCUGCUAGUUCCACGGCCAUCAGGGUCUCGGUGGUCUUGGACUUGACACCGCGCAGCGUGACUUGUUCGCCCUCGUGGAGGAACGAGACGAACUUGUCUUGCCAGUGGCAAGUCAUGGGACUGUGCUGUGCCAGCCAGUCCAUGCCCAGAAUGCCGUCGUAGGCGCCGAUGUCGAGCUCGUGCAUUGGUGUGGAGAAGGUGUGCCCCUGCAUCCACCACUUCAGGUCGGGCACGAUGCGAUCACAGGUGAUGCGAUCACCGUUGGCGACGCGCACUUCCACCGGAGGCAAUGGUUGAGUUUGCACGCCGAUGCAGUCGACGAAACUCUUGUUGACGAAGCUGUGGGUGCUGCCCGAAUCGAGGAGCAGCAGCAUCACCUGAUUCCCCACCAGAGCACGCAGGCGGAUGGUGCUUGGCGAGUCGGAGCCGUCCAGCGCUUGAGCUGACAGAACGCAGCACUCGGCAGGCCGCGCUGGUGGUUCUGGCUCGUCCAAGAGUUGGAGAGCAUGGAUCGCGCCAUCGGAGAGGACCUCGCCAUGCUCCCCUACAUGGAUGGUGAGCAACUGUGCCGGCUGCGCGCAGUGGUGCUCCCGCGAGUACUUGUCCCCGCACUUGAAGCAGAGAUUGUUGGCGCGCCGGUAAUCCCGCAGCUGUCGCUCCCGAGCGAAUUCGUCGCCGGUUGCGCGUGGAGCGGCUGCUUGCCGCGGCGGCGCCACGUUCGUGGGUGGAGGAGGACGCCCUGGAGGAACCGGUCGGACCCGUGGGCGUGUCGUGCCCAGCUCUUCCUCCUGAAUGCGCGCAAGCACAGACGCGCGGGUGAUGCUCGAUGGGGCUUGUAAACAAAUUGCUGCUCGUAGCUCGUCCUUCAAACCCAAACAGAACUGGGUGAUGAAGAAUUUGUUGUUGAUGGAGGGAUCCAGCGCCAGCAGAUGAUACAUGAGCUCGUCAAACACUGUGCGAUACUCUGCGACGCUGCCCGUCUGUCGUAGUUGAAGGAGACGGUGCAUAGUGAGCUCGAACUCGUCCGCACCGAAUUCUUCGAGCACAGCGGCGUCGAACAUGUCCCAUGACAGGUUGCGGUGGUUCUGGCGAAACGCCUGGAGCCAGUGUGCUGCCUGUCCUUCGAUGUAUAGAGCAGCUGUGGGUACCCAAACAUGUUGACCCACCUUGUAGAGCUCAAAGUAUGCCAGGCACCGAUCCAACCAGAGGUAGGGUGCGGAUCCGUCAAAACGGGGGAAAUCAUGUUUUGGUGGUUUGUGGUAGGAGCUCUCGGUGUAGCUGGGGCUGGGCGGCGGCGCAGUGACCCCAGCCAUGGGCGCCCCGAGAGGGGGAACCGGGAGGAGUGGUGGUCGGUUGUCCCCCAAGCGAGUGUGAGCAGAAGCGGAGCGAUGGGGUUCCGCGUGGGGGGGCUGGUGGCGCGGAGACGGUGGAGGCGGCGGCGGCGGCGGCGGCGGCGGUGGUGGUACCAACAUGGUGACGGAUCCCGCAGGUGAGGCCGGGCAGUCGACGGUCUUGCGGGUCGCAUCGACAUCGGCCUGUGUCAGAUCGAGCUGCCGCGCAAGACCCCGCAGCUCCAGCGCGAUCUGAUUGUUGAAGGAGAGUUGCGCCUCCAAUUGCUUGCCGCGGAGGGCGGUCUGCUCGUCGAACUUGGUGAGGAGGGAGUCGAGCAUCUUCGCGAUGUUGGCGUUCCCUUCCUCCAUGGCCUCCAGAACUUGCCGCGUCGCCACGGAGGGCUUCGAGGGCGCCGUUGCUUCGGCCUGAAAGGGGAUCAAACCCCGCGACGGAUUUUGGGCGAGAUCCGGCGAGCGGACUCGCACCGUACGCGGUGGAUGUUACCGAUCCGCCUCCCAAACUCCGACGGCGCAGCAAUGGUGAGGGGAAGAAAAUUUUUGGCUCUAAAUACCAAUGUAAUGUCCGCGAUCUGAUCGGAGGAUCGAUGAUCUAGAAAGGGGUUGAGGGAGCAGGCGAGAGAGGGGAUGAGCUUGAAGAAAAGGGCUGAGAUUACAGAGGAAAGUUUGGAUACAGAGUUUGGUUUACACACGCAUGCCCUUCCCUGGCCACAUGCGGCCACCCUUUACCGCUACCUACGCCUCCACUUGGCUGGCCAGCUGGCUGGGCCCACCAGCCAGCUCCUUAGUCACGCUAACAUCUGCUUAGGCGUGACAAGGGGGUAACUUGCAAAUCCAAUCGAGUCCAGCAUAGUUGUCAUGGAAUUUGUUUAUUUUAACAAGUUGGUUUAAGGGUGUACUCUUGGCAUCUGUACGCAACAAAUUAGUUAAACCCUAUGUUUUACCAGCACGUAAUCUUUACGUCUACCAUGCGCAUGUGCCUUGCAGACAGCUUAAUUUAGAACAUUUCCGCUGUCGCACGGGGCAUUUUUCUACUUUUAUCAAUGGGAAACUUCGAAAUGGGGAAACUAGAAUGGGAUGUGCAAGAAACUACUGUACUUGCAAAAAGGAAAAUCUGCAUUCCAAAAUUUCAGUUUAUAUACACGAACUGAACAAACUGGACCGUCCGGUUUGACUAGUGUCAUGUCUAAUUGUACACUAGGGUCAUCUAUUUCUGCUAAGUAAUCGCUUGGUUUACAAAAUUAUACAGGGCAACAGCCUAUCAGAAAAUCGACUAACUACUCCCAUGGCUGCCUUUGGAAAGCAUGCCAUGAACUCUUCAUCUUCUCUGGCUUGUGAUGAACUUCAGUUUGCUGCAUUGCCUCUUAUAGCACACUGGAUUAAUAUUUCAUGGCAGUCGGUAGGCGAUCAACCCUGCACUCAAGUUGAGUCGGAAUGAGAAUGGCGAUAGCUUCAACUAUUUAUUCAGAAAGGGUUCAGUGAAUGGAAGUUCAGUGUGCUUGCCUGCCUAACUGGAGUAGUUCAGGCUCCUGCAGCAGCAAAUCUUGUAGACUCCCAGCCCUAGCAUCGCUGCAUCCAGCAGAAAAACAAUGGAUUUCACUUUCAGCAACAUCGAAUCGAAACAAAGCCGAACCUGAGUAUGGGAUAAAAAGUAUCACCAAACAAGGUCACUGAUAGGAGCGCACCUGACAUCCAGGGAGAGAAGUCUGUGGUGAAUUGAGUUAUCGGAGCCAACAUAGGUGACAACGAGGCUUCCAGCAUCUGGAUGUGGCCAGCUUCGUGUGGUAGGGAAUCUGAGAACGAAUGUUCCCGGCUUCUUGAGCAGUUCCCUGGAGCUUCUUAGCGCAUUCUCAGCUUCCUCUGUUGUAAUCAAUCCCUCUAUCCACACAGGUGCAGUGCAACCCCAUAGGCUGUUGAUUUUAUCUUUCGACAGAGAAACGGCCACUGGGUAUAGCCAAUACCAUAGCCUAUCAAAUUCGUUCCUUCCAAGAUCAUCCCCACAGCCAGCAAUUCCUCUUAAAACCUCCAGAUCCUAUAAUGAAUAGUACGUGCUAUGGAAUCAAACAUCUAUUCUUGUGCUACUCACAAAUAAUUGACAACAGAACCCUCCUACUGAGUUAAUGUAUAACCCUCUCAAAAAAUGAGGGGUAAAGGUGUUAAGAGACCUCAUACAGAAGUAAAUGGAUCUACCUGCUCUGACAAACCUCUGUUUGUAGAAUGGGCAAUGUCCAUAAAAUUUGACAUGAUUUCAGGAACUGCGGAUGACCAAAGAGCACGCUCCUUGUUCUUUGAGAUUAUGCUCCAAGUUACAGCACCCUCUUCAAGCAAUUGCUUUGAAAUUAAUAUUUGGUUUCUUUAGAAGGAAAAUGCAAAUGCAUGUUAUUGUUAGUGAUAAAGAGGGAGAGGAACCUCCUUAUCUUAUAAAAUACAUAAAACAAAAAAUAUAAGACUACCUGUGAUGGGAGCAUCCACUAUACAAAGAGACCUCAUUUGCAAGUGUGAUCAAAUCGUCCACAUUGAUGGAAGAAGCUGCACCUUUAAGAAAUGUUGACCGCUCAUACGUUCCUUCUAGACAAUAUCUGAAGAUCAUAGCAUCUGAAAGAGUUUCAGCUUCAUCCUUAUCUGAUCCACUCCAAGAACUUCUCGCAUCAAUGCUGUCGGAGUCUGACAUCGUAGAUUCAGUUCUGACACUUUGUGCUUCCACUACCAUCUUUCUAGCCUGCUUACUCUGCAAACAAACCAUUAACUACGAAGUUCAAGUGAAUUAAUCACAAUUUCAGAAGUACCACAAUCUAGCAGAUUGACUACCUGGGAUACCAUUUUGUGAGUCUCUGUUCCAUCGCCUUCUACCUUGAGAAACUUGGAUGGAUGCAAACAUGCCACUGAACUUUGAUCCUGAGACAGUGAGCAAGCAUUUGCUUUGCCAUCACGAUCAAGCCCUUGUCCAUUGUUAAGCAAGUGAAUUUCAUCGACUGUUGCAGAACUUGUCCGCUUUGCAGCACUCAAUGGACGGCUGGGGCGGCCUCGGGAUAUACAGCGAAUUGGCUUGGAAGAUGCCUCCAGAAAAGGAUAUUUGCGCGUGUGAAGUGUUGAGAAAUAAAUGCGGAACAGCUUAUUGUCACAUUUAGAAGAGAGCUGCAACAAUCGGAUCAAAUAUCAUGAAAGAAGAUCAACCAAGCAAAAUCAUAGCAUAAAAUCCAGUUAAAAAAAUCAUAAAAUCGUAUAUGUAGGUUCAUUGAGACAAACAUGGUAUUUCUGACAGUAUAAGCCUUCACUUGUACAUACUACAUAGCACCUGCGCAAAUCCAGGGCCAUACUGGGCCACAACAAAAGCUUCUAUAGACAUUUCAGCCUUUUCUUUCUUUUUGGCAGAUAUGUAUUUCAGAUUCAAGUGAAUUUAACAGAAGUAAUUAAAUAUGGUGGAAAAUGAAUAAAUAUUCAAGGCACAUGGCAUAAAUAGCAACCUUUUUUUCCCCNNNNNNNNNNNNNNNNNNNNNNNNNNNNNNNNNNNNNNNNNNNNNNNNNNNNNNNNNNNNNNNNNNNNNNNNNNNNNNNNNNNNNNNNNNNNNNNNNNNNNNNNNNNNNNNNNNNNNNNNNNNNNNNNNNNNNNNNNNNNNNNNNNNNNNNNNNNNGUUCAAAACAAGAUGCUGUAAGUGUUUAACUAAGAUGGAGCAUUGCGUAGCAGUCUGCUUCAGGAUCAUAAUGGCUGCUGUAUUAUAGAUACGGCCUCAUACCACUAUGUUGCUGCUACAGAGCAAUAACAAAACUAAAGCAAUCAAUUUUUGUAGGAAUUCAGCAUAUGGAGAAACCCACCUGAGAUAUCUUGAGCUUAAAUAGUGCACGCCCACGAAGAAUUGGAAGAGGCCUGCUUUCAGCUGGGUAUUCAAGUCCUUCGCAAGCAAUCAGUAGGGGAGGUUCUGCAUCAUCCCUUGAUUUCUCGACUAAUGCUCCAUUGUCAGCAUAGACGAGUGAAGCAACAAUCUAGAAGACGAUUCAUUUCUUAAGUAAGCAAACAAACAAGUAGCACACUUGCUAAAUGUACCAAAAAAGAAGAUAAAUCAAAAAACCUGUGUAUCCUUGUUCAUAUGUUCACCAAAAGCGUUUGUUAGUACUACUUCCAACAUGAAGUUCCUCCGACAAGAAGCCUACAGAAACCAAUUUCGACCAUUACAACAACAGUCAGGGGUUAUUUAGGAUUAUUAUGUGUUUUGUACAUAGAAUAAACAUAGCUCGGCAUUAUCUUCUGCAACUCACUGCAGCUCUCAGGUUAUCUUUCACAUUUUUACAGGUUAAACAUAAUAGAAAUGCAGAAACAUUUCUUGCUGUGCGUAAAAUAGCUGAAAUAAAGAUAGGAUAAAUAGUUUGUGUCAGGAGACAUAAUUUGGUCUACCUUCCCACCGACAAUGCACCAAAUGCCAUCAUCGCCCUCCUCAAUUCCGUCGCAGCAUGAGUAGUCAAUAGAUAGCUUAGACGGUGGAUUCUGCAAAAAACAAUUGUAAGUUUUCACCUUUACAGAAGAAGAAAAAAUAAUGCCUUACUAUUAGCUAAGCUGCAUCACCUCUGCGUACUGCUCCUGUAUGGUUCCUAUCAUAGAUAGCACUUGGAUAUUGUACACAUAGCCAUCGACCUUGCCAUUGUUUCCAAGCAAGCAAACUUGGUAUGCAUCAUCUUGAUUGUCUGGCUGGCUAGAUAGUGAACAAAGAUGAGCCUCGGCAACUAGAUCGCCAUCAAUGUGAAGGCGCAUAACAUUUUCAGUAACCUGACAUGGGUGCAUAGUUUUACAAAACAGAUUAAAUAAAGCAAUUGUUGUAAACGUAAAGGAAGAUUGCCAUUUGGAGCAUGUCAGUGUGUUGCACAUAAGUCAAAAACAAGUAUAUGAGGGAGAAAAAUAGGAAGUGUGGAAAAACAUUAAAUGGACACCUCUGCUGACUCAACCAAUCCAAGGAUAUUGAGCAACGCAAAAGGCAUGUUACAGACAUUCAUGCUUGCAGCAUACCUCGCAUCCAACGUGUAUCCAGUGCUCAAGAGGGCAUUCAUUUACAGCCGAUAUAUAGGUCGUAUCAGUCCAUGGAGAGGAAUUAGAGGAACUAGGAGCUUGCUUGUGCAACCUCAGCAAUGGGAAGAGAAGCAGCUUAUUUCCUUCACUUAAAGCAAGAAAUGGCAACUUAUUGCCAUCUCCUGCAGUUAUCUGCAAAAAAUUGAGAAUUCCCAUCAGUUCAAUACAAAUCUUGGCAGAAGUACACAUGGAAACCUAGAAUUGCAGUUCAGAUCUUAUUGCCGAACAAAAAACAUUCUUCUUACACCCAUCCAAAAAAGAGCGUGACGAGAACAGAGUGUCGCUCCGUUGGCAAGGCGUGCAAGUGCGCAACCAGCCCGCCCACGUUCGAGUCUCGGGCUCCCCGAGGUGCUCAGGGUUAUUUCUAAUAUUAAAAUGUGCCGCCAAGGGCUAGUCCUGGCUUGUCACAAUUAAAAAGAGAUGUAGAACCCAUUUUUAAUGGCCCAGUGAAGAUUUUGCAUACUGCUCAGUGUGCCACAGAAUGGGCGCCAACCUCUCACACAGAUCGACCAAUGAAUCCGUAUAAUUGAAAUGCACCAACGACCUACCAAUUGCAGGCUGCAGCAUCCACAGCACAACCAUAAGCACGCGUAACAGCAGACCGAUAAACUCCCCUCCCUAAGAUAUAAUUUGCUCCUCGUGCGCAAUCACAAAAUCAAAAUUUCUAUCAGUUCAAUACAAGUCUCGGGCUCUCGGCAGACUACACAUGGAAACCUAGGAUUGCAUUUCAGGUCUAAUCGCCAAAACAAAAACAUUCUUCUUACACCCAUCCUAAAUAAAUCACUAAGAACUUUCCCGCGCUAAAAAAGAGAUGGUGAUAAGAACAGGGUCUCGCUCCGUUGGCAAGGCGUGCGAGUGCGCAAUCAGCCCGCCCAUGUUCGAGCCCUGGACUCCGCGAGGUGCUCAGGGUUGUUUCUUUUAGUAAAAUAUAUGCUGCCAAGGGCCAGUCCUGGCUAGUCUCUCGAUUAAAAAGAGAUGUAUAUAGCAGCACCCAUUCUUAACUGUCCUAUCAAGAUUUUGCCAUACUGCUAGUGCUCAGUGUGCCACAGGAUGGGCCUGUGAACCCAUCACAUGGACCGACUGAUGAAUCCUAUAAUGUAAAUGCACCAACCACCUACCAAUUGCAGGAUGUACCACGGGACAACCAUAAGCACGCGUUACGGCAGACCGAGAAACUCCCCUCCCCCAAAAGAUAGAAUUCGCUCUUCGCGCGCACUCACAAGUCAGAAAAUCAAAAUUCCUACAGCAACGUAAGGCCUAACGAUCUCCUAAAACAGGGGAACGACCAAAUUACUCGAAUCUAGUCGAACCUGGUGAAGGAUAACCGGGGAAGGCCUCGCGGAGCCGGAGAGGUAGAGCCAGAAGCAGACGGCGAAUCCUCCGCCCGCGCCCGCGCCUCCUUCUCCCCCGCCUCGGGCCUUACCCAGGUCCAGCUCGACCCGCACGUCGCGGAGGCCGAGGUAGCCCUCGAUUUCACCGGGUUCUGCCGGCGCCGCCAUCCCGGGACCGCCGCACCGUGGUUCGGCGGAGGCAAGGGUUUUCUUGGUCCCGCUUCCGCUCCGAAAUGGUGUGUCAUAACGGUUUGUUCGGUGACGGCCGGGGGAGUGGGAUACUGCUAUCUGCAGCCGUUGGAUAUGAAAACUGGGGUUGCUCCUGGCCGUCAGAUGCCAAGCGGUUGAUUCCACGUUUUUUCAUCUCCAAGGCUCUAAAUAAAAAAAAGGGAAAACGUAGGAUUGAGAUGUCUUAUCAUCAUCUAAUUCAUUGUGCUUCUUGAUUUUGACCCUCCCUAUCCAUUCAAUUGAGAUUUUUAAUUUGAAUUUGGUUCAUGAUUUUUAUCGUGUCAACUAUUUCUCAACGACUUCUCUCUUUCAUUUGAGGUACUUAAUAUUAGAUUUAGUUCAUGAUUUUGACUGUAUCAAUGAUUAAUAGGCAGGAACCAGCCUGUAAAAACAUAUCAGUCCCCUGAACCAACAAAAAAACACAUGAUUUCUCAUAGCAUCUUUUUUUUUUCCUAAAUCAUCUAAUUCACCAUGCUUCCUAAUUUUGAAGCCCACCCAUUUAAAUUGAGAUGUUUAAUUUUAAAUUUGGUUCAUGAUCUUAACUAGAUCAACUAUUUCUUAACGAGCUCUUUCAUUCAGUUGAGGAAUUUAGUUUUGGAUUUGAUCAUGAUUUUGACUAGGCCAACGAUCACAUAAAUUAAUCAGCAACAACUACUAUGUAAAACACAUCAGUAUUGUGCGCCCUCUCACCAUCUAAAGGAACAUAUCAGUCUUCACAACAUCUAUUUUUCUUUGAAUCAUAUUACAUACACUAUGCUUCCUAAUUUUCAAGGGCUCAUAAUCAAUCGAGGUCUUCAAUUUGGAAUUGGGUCAUCCAAUUUUAACUGAGUCAACAAUUUCUCAAGGAGCUUUGUCAUUCAAUUAUUUUAAUUUAAUAUGCUCUCUAAUUUACUCAUGUUCGAUUGAGCUAUAAAUUUUUUAGAUUAGGUUCAUAUUUUAACGGGCUCAGCGAUUUUUCAAAUCAACCGUCAGCAACCAGCCUAUAAAUAAAUGUCAACCGCGCACCAUCUCGCCACCUAUAAAAAAGAAACACCAACAUGUGGUACUGUAAUACCAAUAUACUAGCACACCGGUGCAGAAAAAUUCCCCACAUAAAUAUGGCUUGAUUAGCAGAUAAUACAGUCACAUCGUGAAAGGCCCACCAAAACACUGCAUUACAAAUAAAAAUAAAACACACUCCAUCAUCUGCCCCACUCGUCAAACCAAAUAUUCUCUCACUUCCAAGAUAUAAAGGGCAUUAGUUUUUGGAAAAAGCCGGUUUUUUAAUUCGACCAAGUCCAGAGCCAAAAAUAUUGACAUCCAUAAUACUAAUUAAAUAGAAUACAAAAAUUCAUUUCAUGAUGAACCUAAUGAUACCGAUUUGAUUAUGGAUAUUGAUAUAUUCUCUACAAAUUUGGCCAAAUUUCAAGAGAUUUGACUUUUUUGAAAAAACUAAUACAUCCUAUAUUUUGAGACAAAGGGCGUAAAAUAUGCUCCCCAAUUUUGGACCCCUUCCCAUUCAAUUGAGGUGUUCAGUUUUGGAUUUAGUUCAUGAUUUUGACUUGGUCAACUAUUUCUUAGCGAGCCCUCUCAUUCGGGAAUCUAAUUCAUUAUGCUCCCUAAUUUUAGAGCCCUCCAUUCAAUUUGAGAUGUUCAAUUUUUGAUUUUGUUCACGUGACCAGGUCAACUAUUUCUCAACGAGCUCGCUCUUUUAGUUGAGGUAUUCAAUUGUGGAUGCGAUUCAUGAUUUGAACUGGGUCAAUGAUUUAGCAUAUUAAUCAGCAAUAACCAGCCUGCAAAACACAUCAACCCCGUGAACCCUCUCACCACUAAAAAUACAUCAGUUCUCAUAAGACCUAGUUUCUCUGGAUCAUCUAUCUAAUUCACUGUGCUCCCUAGUCUUGGAGCCCUCUUGCUCAAUUGAGGUGUGUAAUUUUGGAUUUGGUUCAUGAUUUUGCCUGGAGUCAACUAUUUUCACCAUGAGCUCUCUUAUUCGGUUGAGAUAUUCAAUUUUGGAUUUGAUUCACGAUUUUGAAUGGGUCAAUGACUUCAUAAAUUAAUCGUCAUGUAAACACAUCAGUCAUGUACACCCUCUUACCAUCUAAAAGAACAUAUCAAUCCCCAUAACACCUAUUUUUCUCAGGAACAUCUAAUUCACUAUGCACCCUAAUUUUGGACCCCUCCCAUUCAAUUGAGGUGUUUAAUUUUUGGAUUUUGUUCAUGAUUUGACAUGGUCAACUAUUUCUCAACAAGCCCUCACAUUCAAGCGAGAGAUUCAAUUUUGGAUUUGAUUCAUGAUUUUGACUGGAUCAAGACUUCUGAAGAAUUUUUAUAUGAAUGAAAUAUGAUCCCUAACACUCUCAACACCCUCCCCCUCUUUAUAGCGUGGCUUCGCUACGACUCAAAUAAAAUCAAAAAACUUCUGAGCCUUCAACACCAAAACGUUAAUUGGGAGAUAAUGCACUUUCAACACCCCUUAGGUUUCUAUAGUUUUAGGGGGUGGGGGCGUUGAUUCUACUUCACCAUUCAAGAGGGUGUCAACAAGUUUUGUGGAGCAUAUGCACAAAGCCACAAAUGCAAAAUCGGUGGUCAAGUGGCGUGAGACUCCAUGAGCGGGCAAGUUUUGCUUCGCUAUGUUGCAUGUGUUGAUCAUGUGACUGUUUUGCUCUAUGUUGCAAUGUGUUGAUCAUGUGAUUGUAUUUCUUUGCUAGCCCGACCUUGCGACGACAUUGUAAAAGACGAGGGUGAAGCCAUUCAUGAUGCUUCAUUGUUGGAGCAAGUUGAAUGGCCAAAUCAAGUGGAGUGGUAUACCCAAUUACGUCAAGACCGCCAUCACCAAAGGGGAUGAAGUUGGUGAAACAAGCGAUGAAAUGGGGGAGGGCUUGUACCGGCCACCAGUGUGCCGAGGUCGAGUGAGAAGAAACAUGAGAAUGAAGGUGAAGCGUGAAGGGAUGUCGACCAAGAUGACAGACAAGUGAGAGGACAUCAUGUUGAAGAAGAUGAGGCAAAGGCCAAGGAGAAGAAAAGGCGAAGAUGUUUAACACGUUCAUGGAGAUGCAAAAAAGAAAAAGUUGACCUCGAGAAGAAAAAGCUUGCCGUCAAGCAAGCAUGCAAGUCCAAGGUCUUAUACGUGAAGACUGGUGACUUGGAUCCCGAUGUGGCGAAGUUUGUACACCAAUAGCGUAGCAGCAUCUUCGCAAACUAUGCGGAGGCAAAAAUGAUUCAUUCGGUUCGAAAAAUCAGUCCUUCUGCUUGUUUGAUGGAUGCUAAUUAUAAAACUUGUUGAACAUACAAUGAAAUUGCUUCUGGUUGUAUUUGUUGUAGGUACUAAAUAUAUCGUUAAAAUGUUACUGAUUGAUUUAACUCAGUAAAGGAAAAAGACCAUAUAAAUAAAAAAUAUUUGAGGAAUAACUUUAAAUGGCGCAAAUGUCCGUAAACAUUUGAAAAUGUCGACGUGGGAGAAGCUCUGAAACCCGUCUUCACUCUUUCAGCAGGAAGCAGAAUCGUGAGUCAUGAGAAGAUCCCAUCCGAUCGGAGCCGUCCAUUGCCAUCACCACACAGUCCGUUCAUACCCAUCCCAUUCCCGUCCGUCCACAGGCUCUGUUCUCCAGUGAUUCCGUUUUCCACCUAUAAAAAUGAGGAGUAUGCACGGAGACGACCUCCUCGACUCACCGCCGGCCACGCGCGCUCACCCCCUCCGUACGAGCCACCCGCCGUCCUCCGCCGUCAGCUUCAACCCCAACAGGUUCUCUCCUCCCCUCCUCCACCUUUCUCUCUCCUGCUCCUGUAGAUGGUUAAAUCCGAUCAACAAAGAAGCCGCAAGAUACAGGCAUGGCUCGCGACCAUUAUACGAGUAGAAGGAUGCGCCCGCCCUUUUCUGAGACGGCGAAAAACGACCGGCGACGGCGGGUACGCGGGCGGCGUGGGGUCCCGCCGAUCUCCCUCCCACCUUCCUUGACCAAGCGAGUGCGCUUCGGCAGCUAAAGGCGCCGGGGAUUAGACUGGGUUCACAAUUAGUUUAGUGUCCAUGUCAAAAAGGCCAGCUCCUUUGCACUAGCUUCUCUUCUGGAAAUUCAUUUGUUUAUCCAGUAGCAGCCUAAUUAGCAGACGCCACAUGUUUCGCUAAGCGCCGUGCUGAUUGAAAUGGUGCCGUCACCGCUGUCUGCAUCUACUUAAUUAUUUCACUGGUUAGUUAGCUCUUCUGUUAAAUUCUGGUGGUGGCUCCACACUUUGGCUCUUCUUUUGGAUUUUGAUCCCACUGAUUGGCUAUUGUUGUCUUGGGCUCUUGAUCUUGCUUUCAGCUGGUAUACCCUAUCCCUGCGUAUGAUCACUUCACUGAUCAGUAUAGUUAGUUCAGUACCCCAUGUGUAUGUGCCAGGAAUCUUUUUUCAGAGUUCUUUAUGUGCCCUUCAGUAUAUAACCAGCUAUGUUAUUUUCACCUUUUGUUAAAAUUUUGAGCUAGUGUUUUUUCUUCUUACUUUCUGAACUUUGCUGGGCACUACUAAUAUGUUUUGAACUCGUUGGGAUUGGCUAGAGAAAGGAGUUUGUGAAUUUUCAAAAAGAUUUUCCAUGACCUUGUGCGGUACUAAUAUGUUUUUGAUGUGAUUGGUCCAGCUUCACCCAACAAAUAUACCCCCAAUCUAUCUCUUUGUCCUGCUCAUUGUCUGGUUCCUAUUGCUUCCUGAUUUUAUAAGGCAUGGAUUGGUGGCGAUUGAUUUUGAAAAACUACUCUCUUUUUCUGUGGCAGUGCUCUUACAUCUCUUGUAGCUAGCUGGAAAAGCGAGCUUGCAUGAUGGAGGACUCUUCAACUAGGAGCCAUGUUUUUGAGGGGAAUCGGCUGGGCUAUGUAAGAAGUGAAUCCAUGGAUUCCGCUGGCCAUCCUUCGGCUGCUAGGUCAGGCUCACUGCUAAGUAGGAGAAGUAGCAGGCCCAGUUCAAGGGGAUCCAUCAGCCUCUCUCGCGAGAUGGGCGACUCGAUCCUGAACUCAAUGAGGCAUUCCCUUCAGUCAGCAGACCAGUUGCUUGGUCAUGCUGAUAGCUCGGCUUUGGCUCAGGUCAUUGACAGUGGUGACCGAGUGCUAGCCUUGGAAGAUGAGGCCGAUGAAGAUAUGGCAAAUACAUUGGAUCAACAUCCUGUCCGAGAUAAUCGAAUCCAUGGCUACAGCUCACAUGGCACAGGUCUGCCAGCACCUGAGUCUUCUCUGGAGCCAAAGGGCGAGAGCUCAUCAGGCAAGGUACAAAAUUGUACUUUGAGUUGAGUGAUUGCUUGCAAUAAUCAAUCAAAUGAUUAUGCUGUCUAGCACUAUUGCAAGGCUGUACGUUGUGCUAUAGAUUCUAAAAUGAACAUGUCUAUGCUUUCCUGCAGGUUGAACAAUAUAUGCUUUCUCGGAGGCUAGAUUAUGCUUCUUACCUGAUCCAUUUAGCCGCCUUUGGAUCAUUCGGGGUAACUCUCCAAAUCGUUGUCUACUGUUGUUUGUAUUAGGUAUUAAUUACUAAGUGGUCUUCCUUAGUGUACAUAAAUGUAGCGGAAGAUUGAUGAAAGUUCAGGGGACAUUUUUACUUUAAACCCAUGCAUGCGUUCAGAAAACAUUUACCGUGGUACCAUCCCUUUCCAUUACCAUAAUUAUGUUUUUGAUGUCCAAAUUAGGUAUUUACAAGGUACGGGCUCCAAAAGCUGUUCGGCCCAGGCUGCCUGGCACUCACCUCCAACCAAAGCCCGUUGUACCUUGAUCUUCCAUCAAACAUGGUAUGUUCUAUCCUGUACCUGCUCAAGUAAAAAAAACACCAGGGAUUUGGGCUGUACUGACGCAUGUUAAUGCCCAAAUGUUUGUGCAUCAGCUAGGAUCCUUCCUGAUGGCCUGGUUUGGGAUAAUCUUUAAGACUGACAUUCGGCACAUAUCUGAACAUCUCAUUGUUGGAAUCACAACCGGAUACAUGGGAAGCCUUACCACCUUCAGUGGGUGGAAUCAAGCGAUGGUUAGCAUGUCUUCCAAAGACCAUUGGGCAUAUGCCAUAGCUGGCAUAGUAUUAGGUACCUCAUCAUAAUUUUCUAUAAAGUGCUAUUAGUCCAAAAUUAGUUACCGCUAAGUAAAGACAUAAGGGAAAUCAUUCUUUUGAUGAUUAACAACACUAACCUACUCAGGAAUGUUCAUCGUCAAUGAGUCCAUCAGGGUGGGCGCCGAAACAGGUGAGCGCCUACGAAGCUGGAUCCUGAAAUGCAUCAAGGAAAAUAGUUCAAUAGGAAGCAACUGUAACUGGGAGCAGCUGAAAGUCAACACUAGGACUAAACAUUUUGUGCUUAUAGCAGUUAUGAUGAUUUUGCUUUCUUUUGUGUGGGUUCUGAGUAUCGUGUUGGCCAUAAUAAAGGUGCGCAAUCUUGAUGAUGGCGCUGUACUAUGGUUGGGGUGCUCGGUUGCGCCUCCAGGCGUUUGGUUACGCUGGUACUUGGCAAGGCUCAAUGGCCAGGGAAUCGGCAAACAGAGAUCCCUCAAAUGGCUGCCCAUUGGGACACUUGUAGCCAAUGUUCUUGCUGCGGGUAUCAUGGCAUCACUGGCUGUGACCGCCAAAGCGGUAUGAUAGCUAAAGCAUGUGUUUAUACGGUUUAUGUAAAUUGCGUUGCUAUCUCUCUGAUUGGUUUAGUCUUUCUGUAGGUGAAUACAAAGCGUUCGACAACUGUUCUUAAUGGCAUACAGUUUGGUUUCCUUGGCUGCUUGAGCACAGUGUCUACUUUUGCUGCUGAAAUCUAUGCUAUGCGAAGCAGCGGACAGAUUGGUAGGGCCUUUGUCUAUGCUGCAGCGACCUUCGUGCUCUCUUUCGUGCUGGGAACUCUGGUAUACUCUGUGCCAGUAUGGGUCAAUCAUUACCAAUAGCUUCAUGAAGUAUUACAGACUUGAAGGCUUUGGCAUCAUUUUGCUGGUUGCAACAUCCAAGCAGAUAGCGCAAUUCUCAACAUACAUAGUUAGGCUUUUCUAGGGAAUUUUGUCUGCUUCUUUAAGAUAUUUGAUGUACCAUGUACGUUGUUGAACAUGAUGGCAUUUUGCAGCAGAAACAUGUUUGUACACAACAUCUGCCAUUGUAAUCCUGUGAACAACAACAUCCAUAUUUAUGGAGUAUGUAUAUGAAAUGUUACAGUUUAUAUCUUAGGUACGCAUAUGAAAUGAAUGUAUCACCUGUAGAAGCAAAAGAAAAACAACAUCCAUGUUUAUGGAUUAGCUUUGUCACACAUAUUUGUACACAAACAACAUACAUGAUUUAUGCACCAGCAUCAGAAAUAUAUUGCUAAAUUUGCAAUAGCCUAUGUUUAUUUGUUUCAUCUGCCAUGUAAUCCUGUGGACACAACUACAUGCUAACCUGAGCAAAAUCAUAUUUCCUUGCUGUAAUGCAAGGUAUCUGUACAUCAUUUUCUAAAACUGGACACAGAUGCAGAUACAAUAUGGAUGAUGAAUUAUUUGUACCUACAAACUUUCAAGUGAAUGUAGCGCAGAAAAAUAGUAAUGCUGAGCUUCCUGUUUCGGUGUGUCCUGUGUCCAUUGGCAUGUGACAUGACAAAGCGAUGUUAGCUUGACAAUAUUUGUGAAAUCGCUUUUUCACUCUUUACUUGGUAUGCCAAGCCGCAGCAUUAUUUGCUCAAGAAUAUCCGUUCCCUCUUCCUUCAAUUACACCAGGCCCAGCAGAACGCCCAUGUCUGCAGGUCCCUUCACCACCGAUUCUUUAUGAUGCCACUGCUACAUCACACUUGUUCAGGGAUGCACUUAUCCAGUCUCUGUUCACAAAAGAAUGUCUCCUGUGCAAAGAACAAACAGCUUUCACCAUGCCAAAGUUCUUAUCACAAAGUAAUUUGUCUGCCUGAGCCUUCUUCAACAUGGGAGUCAAGGGAGAUAACCUCGCAAAACAAACUUUGAAGAGCAAGCACUCAUUUAU
RNAcentral lists this long non-coding RNA (41255 nucleotides) under Triticum aestivum (bread wheat). RNAcentral's name for it is "long non-coding RNA (TAES_LNC006114)". The stretch from base 11654 to 11779 matches the Rfam family "MIR1120/MIR1122 microRNA precursor family". The record is from RNAcentral. Lineage: Eukaryota; Viridiplantae; Streptophyta; Magnoliopsida; Poales; Poaceae.